UCUAAUGGGGUAGUGAUAUUUCACCUUGGAUAUAUUUACAGUAUAUUGGGUGAAAUGUUCCAAGUUAGAUCUCCAGCUGUGUUAAAAAAAUAGUUCACAAAAUAAAAAUGUGGAAUUCUUUACACACACAGAAACAAUAUUCUUUACUUUCGAGACCAUGCAGUAAACUAAAUAUGAUUAAUUCAUCCAUCCACAAAUGUAAAUAGAAUUAAUUAAUGUCACUCUCCAUUUCAGAGGAUAAUAAUUGUUUUGCAGUUUGACCAGUUGGGGCAAUUAGUCCACUUUAUGCAUGGUUCAAUCCUUCCAGUUUCCGUAGGGAAGGCAAAUAUAAAUGUUCACAUGCGAGGGGCUUUGGGCCUAGCCCACGAACCCACCACAAGAUGUUUCCCACCACCACCAAACCCACAAUGGCGUUGGAAUUCUUUGAGAAAUAUAAUUUUCUUUCUUACGUAUUUCAUAAUAUGCCUAUAGAUCAGAGAUUGCAUUGCCAGUGGCAAGAAAAAUGCAUCCUGUAAGUGAAUUCAAAGGAUGACAUUUGUAAAAUUUCAAUUUAUAACAUGUUUGUGUGCAAUAAUGGUUUGUGAAUGUUGUUCCCCCAGGGUGGGGAAUUGGAUUUCUUUAUUUGCCCGGGGGUGGGGAAUUUUGGAAAUAAAAAUCAUUUUGGAAAUAAAAAAUCUGCAAAUCCCUGGGGGUUGCCAGGGGGGGGGGGGUGGUAACAGGAAGAAUUGAAUGUAUGAACAGAUGUGUAACUUCAGUAAACAAGUUGUCCCAUG
Molecule: non-coding RNA, 773 nt
Organism: Paramuricea clavata
Lineage: Eukaryota; Metazoa; Cnidaria; Anthozoa; Malacalcyonacea; Plexauridae
Source: the annotation of a GenBank genome assembly